RNAcentral lists this ribosomal RNA (233 nucleotides) under uncultured bacterium. RNAcentral's name for it is "partial 16S ribosomal RNA". It matches the Rfam family "Bacterial small subunit ribosomal RNA", at positions 118 to 351 of the family's 1533-position model. The record is from RNAcentral.
UGAGUAACCUGCCCUUAACUCUGGGAUAAGCCUGGGAAACUGGGUCUAAUACCGGAUAUGACUCCUCAUCGCAUGGUGGGGGGGUGGAAAGCUUUUGUGGUUUUGGAUGGACUCGCGGCCUAUCAGCUUGUUGGUGAGGUAAUGGCUCACCAAGGCUACGACGGGUAGCCGGCCUGAGAGGGUGACCGGCCACACUGGGACUGAGACACGGCCCAGACUCCUACGGGAGGCAG